This 1531-nucleotide ribosomal RNA is filed under the name Salmonella enterica subsp. enterica serovar 4,12:d:-. RNAcentral's name for it is "bacterial LSU rRNA". It matches the Rfam family "Bacterial large subunit ribosomal RNA", at positions 1298 to 2812 of the family's 2925-position model. Lineage: Bacteria; Pseudomonadati; Pseudomonadota; Gammaproteobacteria; Enterobacterales; Enterobacteriaceae. The record is from RNAcentral.
UGACAUAAGUAACGAUAAAGCGGGUGAAAAGCCCGCUCGCCGGAAGACCAAGGGUUCCUGUCCAACGUUAAUCGGGGCAGGGUGAGUCGACCCCUAAGGCGAGGCCGAAAGGCGUAGUCGAUGGGAAACGGGUUAAUAUUCCCGUACUUGGUGUUACUGCGAAGGGGGGACGGAGAAGGCUAUGUUGGCCGGGCGACGGUUGUCCCGGUUUAAGCGUGUAGGUGUGUGUUCCAGGUAAAUCCGGUUCACUUUAACACUGAGGCGUGACGACGAGGCACUACGGUGCUGAAGCAACAAAUGCCCUGCUUCCAGGAAAAGCCUCUAAGCAUCAGGUAACAUCAAAUCGUACCCCAAACCGACACAGGUGGUCAGGUAGAGAAUACCAAGGCGCUUGAGAGAACUCGGGUGAAGGAACUAGGCAAAAUGGUGCCGUAACUUCGGGAGAAGGCACGCUGACACGUAGGUGAAGUGAUUUACUCAUGGAGCUGAAGUCAGUCGAAGAUACCAGCUGGCUGCAACUGUUUAUUAAAAACACAGCACUGUGCAAACACGAAAGUGGACGUAUACGGUGUGACGCCUGCCCGGUGCCGGAAGGUUAAUUGAUGGGGUCAGCGCAAGCGAAGCUCCUGAUCGAAGCCCCGGUAAACGGCGGCCGUAACUAUAACGGUCCUAAGGUAGCGAAAUUCCUUGUCGGGUAAGUUCCGACCUGCACGAAUGGCGUAAUGAUGGCCAGGCUGUCUCCACCCGAGACUCAGUGAAAUUGAACUCGCUGUGAAGAUGCAGUGUACCCGCGGCAAGACGGAAAGACCCCGUGAACCUUUACUAUAGCUUGACACUGAACAUUGAGCCUUGAUGUGUAGGAUAGGUGGGAGGCUUUGAAGUGUGGACGCCAGUCUGCAUGGAGCCGACCUUGAAAUACCACCCUUUAAUGUUUGAUGUUCUAACGUGGACCCGUAAUCCGGGUUGCGGACAGUGUCUGGUGGGUAGUUUGACUGGGGCGGUCUCCUCCUAAAGAGUAACGGAGGAGCACGAAGGUUGGCUAAUCCUGGUCGGACAUCAGGAGGUUAGUGCAAUGGCAUAAGCCAGCUUGACUGCGAGCGUGACGGCGCGAGCAGGUGCGAAAGCAGGUCAUAGUGAUCCGGUGGUUCUGAAUGGAAGGGCCAUCGCUCAACGGAUAAAAGGUACUCCGGGGAUAACAGGCUGAUACCGCCCAAGAGUUCAUAUCGACGGCGGUGUUUGGCACCUCGAUGUCGGCUCAUCACAUCCUGGGGCUGAAGUAGGUCCCAAGGGUAUGGCUGUUCGCCAUUUAAAGUGGUACGCGAGCUGGGUUUAGAACGUCGUGAGACAGUUCGGUCCCUAUCUGCCGUGGGCGCUGGAGAACUGAGGGGGGCUGCUCCUAGUACGAGAGGACCGGAGUGGACGCAUCACUGGUGUUCGGGUUGUCAUGCCAAUGGCACUGCCCGGUAGCUAAAUGCGGAAGAGAUAAGUGCUGAAAGCAUCUAAGCACGAAACUUGCCCCGAGAUGAGUUCU